AACGAACGCUGGCGGCAUGCCUAACACAUGCAAGUCGAACGAGACCUUCGGGUCUAGUGGCGCACGGGUUCGUAACGCGUGGGAACCUGCCCUUAGGUUCGGAAUAACUCCCCGAAAGGGGUGCUAAUACCGGAUAAUGUCUUCGGCCCAAAGAUUUAUCGCCUUUGGAUGGGCCCGCGUUGGAUUAGCUAGUUGGUAGGGUAAAAGCCUACCAAGGCGACGAUCCAUAGCUGGUCUGAGAGGAUGGUCAGCCACACUGGGACUGAGACACGGCCCAGACUCCUACGGGAGGCAGCAGUGGGGAAUAUUGGACAAUGGGCGAAAGCCUGAUCCAGCAAUGCCGCGUGAGUGAUGAAGGCCUUAGGGUUGUAAAGCUCUUUUACCCGGGAUGAUAAUGACGGUACCGGGAGAAUAAGCUCCGGCUAACUCCGUG
This 433-nucleotide ribosomal RNA is filed under the name uncultured bacterium. RNAcentral describes it as "partial 16S ribosomal RNA". It matches the Rfam family "Bacterial small subunit ribosomal RNA", at positions 29 to 507 of the family's 1533-position model. The record is from RNAcentral.